Notechis scutatus (mainland tiger snake) is the source of this 571-nucleotide non-coding RNA. Lineage: Eukaryota; Metazoa; Chordata; Lepidosauria; Squamata; Elapidae. The record is from RefSeq and is a predicted model, not a curated record.
AACUGGAUAACUUUACUGGAAAACUUUGUACUUUUUUCUUUAUUGUGUUUGUCUAAUUGUGGCAGGCUCCCCUUCUGAAUCAAAUAAACAAGACAGAAGAAGAGAUUGCAAAUGCAACAAAGAGAAAAAUUGACUUAGAAGAUACCUUAGAACAGGUAAAUACAAUGGAAGCUGAACAAAACAGCAUUAUGAAAAUGUUAAGAGAAGAAACACAAAAACUGGAAGAUUUAUGUCAGUAAAAAGCAAAGGAAGUUGUCGAAGAAGAAGAAAAGAGUAAGAAGGAGCUGGAGUUGUUGGAGAAACAUAAAAGUUUGCUUUAUAAUGGUGUCAAUGAGGGUAUCAGUGAAGCCACGAAGGAACUGCAUGAAACCCGAUGCCGAUACCAAGUGGUUAUGCAAACAACUUCAGAAGAGAAAAGGAAAAUGGAUAAAAAUGUGCAGUAUCUUCUGGAACUAAUAUUUACUCAUCUUGAGACUGUUGAGGUAACUCAUGCUAUUAUAUACUACUGAAACUCUCAGUGUGUACCCUUUAAGUGGCUGAAAGUUGUAUCAGGGCAGGGUUUUUUUUUUCA